This is an RNA transcript of Vigna radiata var. radiata (mung bean), 3955 nucleotides long. It is a transcript of the gene named septin and tuftelin-interacting protein 1 homolog 1, with no coding region annotated. The transcript is spliced from 4 exons. The record is from RefSeq and is a predicted model, not a curated record. NCBI's taxonomy places the organism in Eukaryota, Viridiplantae, Streptophyta, Magnoliopsida, Fabales, Fabaceae.
AAAAAAAAUUUGAGUUGAAAUAAAAAAGCAUAACCUAGCCUUGUUCGGUUCUUCGUUUCCACCAUUAACGUACUCUCUUUUCUUUAACCCCAAAACACAUUUUAUUCAUUCACCACCAGACUCACCGAUUACGCUCUCUCAAUUCAAUUCAAUUCACUUUCAAACUCUCUUCACAACCCAUCAAUUUUCAACUCUUUCUCUCUCAAUUCUCAAACUCAAUCCCCUUUUCGCAAUCUCCUGACGAACCCUAAUCAAACGCAAUCACUUCGUCCUUCGUUCAAUUCAUUGCUGAGUACCUCGUUAUUCUUCUUUCAGCUCAAGUUCGUGAUUUCUGCUUCUGCACUAAUUUAUACCUUCUACCCCUUUCGCGGUUUCUAAAGGUUUAUUUGCCAUAAACAUGGACGAGGAUCAAGAGAUGGAGAAAUUUGGAAUGGAGAAUGAUUAUGAGGGUGGUCAAUGGAUUGGUGGUGAAUUCUACUACAAGAGUCGUAAGGAAAAGCGCACUCAGACAAAGGAUGAUGUUCUUUACGGGGUUUUUGCAGAUUCUGAUGACGAUGAUGAUUAUUCAAGUAGAAAACGGAGGAAGGACCGUGAUUUUUCAAAGAAGCAAGAUCUAACCAAGCCUGUGAAUUUUGUGUCUACUGGAAUGUUUAUGCCCAAUCAGGAAAUUGAUAAUAAGUCCAAAGAGCAGAAUGAGAAAGAUGGUUAUGUUAGUGAGGAUAGGCCGGGCUUAGGGUCAGGUUUUGGUAUGGGGUCUGGUGGCACUUCUGGGUCUGGUCUAGGUUUUAAUUCUGGCAAUACAGCAAAUGGUUCAGAAAGAAAUGGUGAUUCUGAUGAGAAUGGUCAUGAUAAUUUCUUGCCCUCAGCAUUUGGGAAGAAGAUUAAGGAGGGGGCGAUGAGAAGGGAAAGGGAAAGGGAGAAGGAGAGGUUGGAGAAGAAGAGGGGGAAGCAUCAGAGUUCAGUUCAAGAUGGGUUUAGUGAUGUGGGGAAGUUUGAGAAGCAUACGAAAGGGAUAGGCAUGAAGUUGUUGGAGAAGAUGGGUUAUAAAGGAGGCGGGCUUGGGAAGAAUGAGCAGGGUAUUGUGGCUCCUAUUGAGGCCAGAUUGAGGGCCAAGAAUUCUGGCAUAGGGUUUAAUGAGUCUAAGGAGACUUUGCCAUUGCCGGUUUUGCAGCAAGAGAAGAAGAAUGUGCAAGAGGUCUCACAACCUGUGGUUAGCAAAACAAAGGAAAGGUUAUGGUCAAAGCAAGCAAGGUUGAAGAAAAAGAAGGAGGAAGAGUAUGUAACAGCUGAGGAGUUGUUGGCAAGCAAGCAAGAACAAGAGUUUGAGGUUGUUCAGAAGGUAUAUGAUAUGAGAGGGCCACAUGCUAGAGUAAUAAAUUUGUCUGAUUUGAAUGCCGAGGAGAAAGCAAAAGAAAAUGAUAUCCCAAUGCCAGAACUUCAGUAUAAUGUAGCAUUAAUAGUUGGGUUGGCUGAGGCUGACAUCCAGCAGAUUGAUAGAGAUUUGAGGAGAGAGAGGGAGACGGCACUUAGCUUGAAAAAAGAAAAAGAGAAGCUAGAAACUGAGGCAGCGUUCCAGAAGAAGCAGCUGGAUAAUAUGGAGGAAAUAAAGCGUGUGUUAGACCAUGUUGAAGAAGAAAACACUUUGGGAACUUUAACAUUGGAUUCCCUUGCUCAUUGCUUUAGGGAUUUACACAAAAGAUAUGCUGAUGACUACAAGUUGUGUAACUUGUCAUGCAUUGCUUGUUUUUAUGCUCUACCCCUGUUUAUCAGAGUGUUCCAAGGUUGGGAUCCUCUGCGAAAUCCAUCUCAUGGGUUGGAGUUGGUUUCAGAGUGGAAGGCAUUGCUUCGAGAAGAAGAUUCAGUUGAUAUAUGGGAUGUAUCAUCACCUUAUACCCAAUUGGUUUUAGAGGUUGUAUUGCCAGCUGUAAGAAUAUCUGGUAUAAAUACCUGGCAGGCCCGGGAUCCUGAACCAAUGUUAUGGUUUCUGGAAUUGUGGGAAAAGUUACUUCCUCAAUCUGUCCUUGCCACCAUAUUAGACAAUAUAGUUAUGCCUAAACUAUCAAGUGCUGUAGAUACUUGGGAACCACACCGUGAGACCAUUCCUAUCCACACUUGGGUGCAUCCAUGGCUACCGCUGUUGGGUCACAAGUUGGAGGGUAUUUACCAGGUGAUUCGUUUUAAAUUGAGUACUGUUCUUGGUGCCUGGCACCCAAGUGAUGGUUCUGCUUAUGCUAUAUUGUCUCCUUGGAAGUCUGUAUUUGAUUCUGCUAGUUGGGAACAACUUAUGCUUCGUUUUAUUGUACCAAAGUUACAGCUUGUCUUGCAAGAUUUCCAAGUGAACCCAGCAAGUCAGAAUCUUGAUCAAUUUUAUUGGGUAAUGAACUGGGCUUCUGCUAUUCCUAUUCACCUAAUGGUUGAUAUGAUGGAGAAAUUCUUCUUUGCUAAAUGGCUUCAGGUUCUGUAUCAUUGGCUGUGCUCAAAUCCUAAUUUUGAAGAAGUUACAAAAUGGUAUUUAGGAUGGAAGGAACUCAUUCCAAAAGAACUGUUAGCAAAUGAAAGCAUCCGAUACCAACUUAAUCGCGGUCUUGAUAUGAUGAACCAGGCUGUUGAAGGUAUGGAGGUGGUCCAACCUGGUUUAAAGGAGAAUAUAAGCUAUCUUAGGGUACUUGAGCAGAGGCAAUUUGAGGCUCAACAGAAAGCAGCAGCUUAUGCUCAACAGCAAGCUGCGGCUAGCUUGGGCGGUGCAGUCAAUGCAGAUGGCACUCAUGAAUUGAGCUUGAAAGAAGUCAUUGAGGCUCAUGCUCAGCAACAUGGUUUGCUAUUCAAGCUUAAACCUGGUAGAAUGCACAAUGGUCAUCAAAUAUAUGGGUUUGGUAAUGUCAGCAUAAUAAUAGACUCUCUUAAUCAAAAAGUAUACGCCCAGAACGAAGAAUUGUGGUCUAUGGAAUCUCUUCAGGGAUUGCUUGAGUUGCAUAAUAAAUCCCUUAGUAAAAGGCGUUGAUUUCUGCAUUGACCAAUGUGAAUUAUCUGAAUUAUAAGGUGUUUAAAAACCAUGGUGCGUCUGCUGGUGCAUCAAUGAAUCAUUCUCAUGGUCGGAUGAUGGCCCACUAGUUAUUCCACCUAGUGUUUCUGUGCAUCUUGCAAGUAUGGAAGAUCAUUUUAAUCAGACAAGAGAAUGUUUUAUUUGUGCAAUUCAACAUGAGUAUCUUUUGGUUGAUUCAUCUCCAACUUCUUUUCACCGGUUCCUUUUGCUGCUACAUUUCCUUGAGAUGUAGUUGAACAUGGAGGUUUGCUGAAACUAAUGCUCAGGAAGAUGUCUUCGCAGUUGAACAAUCCACCAUUCAGCUAUAUGCUUCAUCCCCUUCCACUUCAUGGUAAUGGGUCAGAAUGAGCAUUCACUCGUUGCUUUAUAUUUCUAAUACCUCUACUAACUGGGAUUGCGGAUUUUGAGCUGGGAAUGGGUGUUACAUAAAUGACGUGUUUCCCGAGGGGGCAGCAAAGGUUCUAAGGUAAGUGAAAGUGGAAGUUCCAGUGAGGAUAAAGCGUGUGUUGGUAACCUAAUUUCUUUUAUUCACAUGUAUGAGGGUCAAGCAUUUUUGUUUCAGUUUUUGUACCCUGAGCCUCCUAGUGAGGGAGUUUUGGUUCUCACAUACCAUUAAUCUUAGUCCUGAAAUCAUGAGGUAUUGGAAAACUUAAACAAACUAUUCAUGGUGUACUAGAUUCUUUGGGAAGACGAUAGUGCAGAAAGAGUAAAGGUAACUAAAUUUUUUACCAUGUCUUGAUAUUUUGGUAAGCUGUCUUUUCACCCGGCUUAUGCAUUAAGAGACUAAGUCAGGGUAAUUAGAUCUAAAGUUAAUUCAGACAUGUGUACUAAAGGCGUGUUUAUUUUACUGUGCAUCAUAUUUUGUAAAGUCACGUUUAAAUAUUAUUUAACGUAAUUUUGUAUAAUUUUUCA